RNAcentral lists this ribosomal RNA (423 nucleotides) under uncultured bacterium. Its description in RNAcentral is "bacterial SSU rRNA". It matches the Rfam family "Bacterial small subunit ribosomal RNA", at positions 358 to 773 of the family's 1533-position model. The record is from RNAcentral.
GGAAUAUUGGACAAUGGGCGCAAGCCUGAUCCAGCCAUGCCGCGUGUGUGAAGAAGGCCUUCGGGUUGUAAAGCACUUUUGUUGGGGAAGAAAAGACACCGGUUAAUACCCGGGGUUUCUGACGGCACCCACAGCAUAAGCACCGGCUAACUUCGUGCCAGCCGCCGCGGUAAUACGCAGGGUGCAAGCGUUACUCGGAAUUACUGGGCGUAAAGCGUGCGUAGGUGGGGAGUUAAGUCUGUCGUGAAAGCCCCGGGCUCAACCUGGGAAUGGCGAUGGAUACUGGCUCGCUAGAGUGCGGUAGAGGAGAGUGGAAUUCCCGGUGUAGCAGUGAAAUGCGUAGAGAUCGGGAGGAACAUCAGUUGCGAAGGCGGCUCUCUGGACCAGCACUGACACUGAGGCACGAAAGCGUGGGGAGCAAAC